UACGAAGGGGGCUAGCGUUGCUCGGAAUCACUGGGCGUAAAGGGCGCGUAGGCGGCCAUUCAAGUCAGAGGUGAAAGCCCAAGGCUCAACCUUGGAACUGCCUUUGAUACUGUUUGGCUUGAGACCGGUAGAGGUAAGUGGAACUGCGAGUGUAGAGGUGAAAUUCGUAGAUAUUCGCAAGAACACCGGUGGCGAAGGCGGCCUGCUGGGCAGUUUAGCUGACACUGAGGCGCGACAGCGUGGGGAGCAAACAGG
This 255-nucleotide ribosomal RNA is filed under the name uncultured bacterium. RNAcentral describes it as "partial 16S ribosomal RNA". It matches the Rfam family "Bacterial small subunit ribosomal RNA", at positions 524 to 776 of the family's 1533-position model. The record is from RNAcentral.